AGCGAACGCUGGCGGCAGGCCUAACACAUGCAAGUCGAACGAACCUUUCGGGGUUAGUGGCGGACGGGUGAGUAACACGUGGGAACGUGCCUUUAGGUUCGGAAUAACUCAGGGAAACUUGUGCUAAUACCGCAUGUGCCCUUCGGGGGAAAGAUUUAUCGCCUUUAGAGCGGCCCGCGUCUGAUUAGCUAGUUGGUUGGGGUAAUGGCUCACCAAGGCGACGAUCAGUAGCUGGUCUGAGAGGAUGAUCAGCCACAUUGGGACUGAGACACGGCCCAAACUCCUACGGGAGGCAGCAGUGGGGAAUCUUGCGCAAUGGGCGAAAGCCUGACGCAGCCAUGCCGCGUGAAUGAUGAAGGUCUUAGGAUUGUAAAAUUCUUUCACCGGGGACGAUAAUGACGGUACCCGGAGAAGAAGCCCCGGCUAACUUCGUG
Molecule: ribosomal RNA, 434 nt
Filed under: uncultured bacterium
Lineage: Bacteria
Description: partial 16S ribosomal RNA
Rfam family: Bacterial small subunit ribosomal RNA
Source: RNAcentral